RNAcentral lists this ribosomal RNA (244 nucleotides) under uncultured bacterium. Its description in RNAcentral is "partial 16S ribosomal RNA". It matches the Rfam family "Bacterial small subunit ribosomal RNA", at positions 89 to 334 of the family's 1533-position model. The record is from RNAcentral.
UGGCGACCGGCGCACGGGUGCGUAACGCGUAUGCAACCUACCUUUAACAGGGGGAUAACACUGAGAAAUUGGUACUAAUACCCCAUAAUAUCAUAGAAGGCAUCUUUUAUGGUUGAAAAUUCCGAUGGUUAGAGAUGGGCAUGCGUUGUAUUAGCUAGUUGGUGGGGUAACGGCUCACCAAGGCAACGAUACAUAGGGGGACUGAGAGGUUAACCCCCCACAUUGGAACUGAGACACGGUCCAA